UGUUUUAAAUCAAAAAGCAGGCAAAUAAUUUCAUAAGCUCAUAUCCACCUGCGUAAGAAGCCAUGUAAUAAUAUUUUCAUAAAACGAAAACAAUACUCAAUACAUGGAGUAGUUUAUUGUGUUUAUUAUGGUUUGUUCAAAUAACUUACAAAGUGUUGAAUGAUACUGCUGUGUCAGACCGCGUGACGUGUCGCAAUAAACAAGUUCAUUAAAAAUUGCUGUUUAAAAAAAGCUCACACCAGAGGGACAGUUGUGACAUUUUAAACCAGCCCCUGAAAAGUUAAAAACACGACGUCUUGGUAAAUUCCAUGUACAAACACUUGGCUGACUUUCCUAUUGUAAAGAUACUGGUAUGUCUCUGUGCUUUUAUAUUUGCUCAUUGUCACCUCCAAUCAACAACACGAAAUGAUCGAAUAUAUCUUCAUACAUCAAGCCACUUAAUUUUGCCCUCACACUGGUUCAUACAUGGCAGGUGUAAUAAAUAUUAACUGUUUAAAUUAUGUUUUAUGCGUGCUUCCUGCCCCUCUACCGGCUGGCAAUUAAAAGGGAAGUCUCGGACCGGAGAGGAAAUACGUCACAUCACUUACUUUCGCAUUGGAGAAACAGGUGGAUCCCAGCAGUGUUAAUUUAACACUGGAAGUUUUACUCUACAGGGGAAAGCAAAGUAAAUCGUCAUAUAGCGACCGGAGAUCAGCAGGUGUUUUCAAAUGUAAGUAGCUAUUACAAACAAAUAACGUGAUUCCUUCUGUUAUAAUCGCAUUUGUUGACCUACUGAAUAGUAAAUUGGACAAUUUUGUAGGUGUCAAGACAGAACUAUAGUAUAUUUGUGAUUUUGAUGUAAAACACGUUUUAUUAUUUAUAGCUAACAGUGGAGCUCCAUUAAAUUGACACUUAGUUUUUCAACCUUCAUAAUAUAUUUUCAAGACCCUUAUAGUACAUCGACUUAAAAUAGGUUGAAUGGCAUGUCUACCAUAGCCUGACGGGGUCUAUUCGUACUUUUAAACUUGGGGUUUCGGGUAGUAACCCGAGCACAAAAAGAACUGCAAAAUUCGACUGCUUUACGGCAUACGUCACUUUCUUCACUUCAUCAAAAGCGGACGUAAGAGUGCAACUAUUUAUUUUCCUGAUGUUUUUUUAUUGCCAAAGCAGCAACAAAGAAAAAGAAAAUGGGAGAGUAACAGAAUUAAUGGAAGGAUGAGGAUAAAUAUUGGGCCAGAGGAGGAGGGGUUCCUGACGGACGCUGACUCAGCUGUCAUGCUUCAAGUCAUCAACAGUGAGGUCGAGGUGUAGAGCUGCCGGGACACUGUACUUCUCAUCAGCAUCAGUCAGCAGAACUGUGGCACCUCCAUCUCCCUGCAAGACCGCGAUGAUGGUGACCUCCACCUCUACUGGCUCAGCUACAGCCUUCUGUAAUUUGAAUAGGUGGAGGUAUUAAAUUUGGCCUGAGGUCUGACAGUCGCCCUGAGAAAGGAAAUCUCAACACGAUCCCCCAGGCUGAGCUCGAUCAGGGCCUCGUCACGCCACAAGGACACCUCCAACACCCUCUGGCCACACCGGAGAAACAGGUCUCUAAUGGGAACCUCUCCUUCAGCCACUCGGGUCAUCCUGGGGAGAUGUAUCCUCCCCUUGUGAAGAGGUCCUCCUCUUCCCCAGACAUCAGGACAGUUGGUGGGUUGAUGAGGUGUCUGGCAGAUCCUUCUGCUGCUUCUGGCAACUCAAAGGGAGCUGUUUGAAAUUUUUUGGAUUUGGGGUUGAGGAAGAU
Molecule: non-coding RNA, 1762 nt
Organism: Misgurnus anguillicaudatus (oriental weatherfish)
Lineage: Eukaryota; Metazoa; Chordata; Actinopteri; Cypriniformes; Cobitidae
Source: RefSeq, a predicted model, not a curated record